Long non-coding RNA from Sorghum bicolor (sorghum), 810 nucleotides. RefSeq lists it as uncharacterized. The transcript is spliced from 3 exons. Lineage: Eukaryota; Viridiplantae; Streptophyta; Magnoliopsida; Poales; Poaceae. The record is from RefSeq and is a predicted model, not a curated record.
AAACCAAAUAAUUAUGUUUUAUGGAAAUUCUUAGAUGGAUUGUGCAGAAUUAUGGAAAGGAAAAGAAAGAACAACAGGAGGAUGGCAGAUCAAAGCAAGCAUCCAGUGAGAAAGCACAAUUUAGUAUUUGCUGGGAACAAGCAGUACCUGUCAUUUUCAUGUUCUCUGGGAUGUGAACAAAUUUGCAACUCAUAGUGGUUAAAAAAUUUAAGCAAGUUGCAGGUAAUUUUCAGCAGCUGUGAUCCCCUUAAUUUUUAGAUGAGUUAACUUGUUAAUUUCUUUUGAAGUAUCUCUGAGUGAGAGUGCAAUUACUGUGCACUAAAUGAUGCUACCUGGAUGCCAAUUAAUAUGAUGACUUAAAUUUUCAUUCUCAAGUGUGGCUUUACUUUUUUCAUUUAAGAGUGACUUAAAUUUGGCAUGACUAUGUUUUCUCAAUCUGGUUGUGGUUCACUCGCAACCAUGAUUCUUCUUGAACUUGAUAUGUAUAUGAACAGGUAUGUUAAUCUAAACAAUUCAUAUUGAGUUGUUACUUCACUGUGCUUAGGAGUUAGUUGGAACUGAACACAGUAUUAUGUGAUUUAAUGGUUUAGUUGGUAGCUAUCUACUUCUAGAAUUGGUGUGAGAUGGAAGAUGAAGAAGCUAGAGAAGUGAUGGAACCUCUGCCACUAGCGAGUUUCAGGCAAAGAACACACAAGAUUUUGGCCAAACAAUGAGCAAGUACCAAAUAUAUAAGCAAUGCAGCCUUUUGGAGCAAGUACCAAACAUACAAGCUUGGAGCCUAUUGGAGAUAAAAUUUGGUAAAAGGUAAGA